CAGCCGCCACGGUAAAACGAAGGGUGCAAGCGUUAAUCGGAAUUACUGGGCGUAAAGCGUGCGUAGGCGGUGAGUUAAGUCUGCUGUGAAAUCCCCGGGCUCAACCUGGGAAUGGCAGUGGAUACUGGCUCGCUAGAGUGUGUCAGAGGAUGGUGGAAUUCCCGGUGUAGCGGUGAAAUGCGUAGAUAUGCGGAGGAACACCGAUGGCGAAGGCAGCCCCCUGGGCCAACACUGACGCUCAUGCACGAAAGCGUGGGGAGCAAACAGGAUUAGAUACCCCAGUAGUCCCUGUCUCUUAUAC
RNAcentral lists this ribosomal RNA (301 nucleotides) under uncultured bacterium. RNAcentral describes it as "partial 16S ribosomal RNA". It matches the Rfam family "Bacterial small subunit ribosomal RNA", at positions 509 to 807 of the family's 1533-position model. The record is from RNAcentral.